This 440-nucleotide ribosomal RNA is filed under the name Obelia geniculata (knotted thread hydroid). Its description in RNAcentral is "partial 16S ribosomal RNA". It matches the Rfam family "Bacterial large subunit ribosomal RNA", at positions 1909 to 2501 of the family's 2925-position model. The record is from RNAcentral. Lineage: Eukaryota; Metazoa; Cnidaria; Hydrozoa; Leptothecata; Obeliidae.
AAUUAAAAAUAAAACUAAAAGGACGCGGUAACCUUGACCGUGAUAAUGUAGCAUAAUCACUCGCCAUUUAAUUGAUGGAUAGUAUGAAUGGUUGAACGAAUAUUCCACUGUCUUAAAGAGAAUUACAAGAAAUUGAAAUAAUAGUUAAGAUGCUAUUUAAAACUGUAAGACGAAAAGACCCUAUAGAGCUUAACUAUAGUCUCUUUACUAAAGAAGAAAAAUAAUUUUCUUAUAUAAAGAGAUUGGUAGUUUAGUUGGGGCGACUGUCUUCUAAAAUAAACGAAGAUAAGCAAUGUUAAUAAAAAACUUAUUGUAUAAUAAAUUUAUUUAACAAUUACAAAAGUAGGCUAUAUUGACCCGUUUUUACUAAAAAACAAAGAAAAACGAUCAAUUGAUAAAAGCUACCUUAGGGAUAACAGGAUAAUUUCAUUUUAGAGCUC